UGCGUAGGUGGCCGGGUAAGUCGGAUGUGAAAUCUCGGAGCUCAACUCCGAAAUGGCAUUGGAAACUGCCCGGCUCGAGGGUUGGAAGGGGGACUGGAAUACUUGGUGUAGCAGUGAAAUGCGUAGAUAUCAAGUGGAACACCAGUGGCGAAGGCGAGUCCCUGGACAACUCCUGACACUGAGGCACGAAAGCUAGGGGAGCAAACAGGAUUAGAUACCCUGGUAGUCCUAGCCGUAAACGGUGCAUGUUUGCUGUAAAAGGAAUCGACCCCUUUGUGGCGUAGCCAACGCGUUAAACAUGCCGCCUGGGAAGUACGGUCGCAAGAUUAAA
Molecule: ribosomal RNA, 331 nt
Filed under: uncultured bacterium
Lineage: Bacteria
Description: bacterial SSU rRNA
Rfam family: Bacterial small subunit ribosomal RNA
Source: RNAcentral